Molecule: long non-coding RNA, 255 nt
Filed under: Coffea arabica (coffee)
Lineage: Eukaryota; Viridiplantae; Streptophyta; Magnoliopsida; Gentianales; Rubiaceae
Description: long non-coding RNA (CARA_LNC002207)
Source: RNAcentral
CAGGCCUCAUCAAUAAGAGUCUUCAUUGGAAUUUCCUUCGGACAUAUCCCUUUGUCGAAAACGAUGACAAACGGAGUCAGAUCCACUGCAGGUGGUACAUCUUGGACUCGCCCUAAUUGUCGGAGAACCCUCCUCGGAUUGUAUGCCAUGAUACCCUGGGUACCCCAUAGAGGAAUAAAUUCGGAUGCCUUGGUACGAAGAAUAGGUUUGGUACAAUUGGUCCAAUCCAAUACCCAUCUAACAUUUUGAUUGGUC